CGUGGGCAAUCUGCCCUUCACUCUGGGACAAGCCCUGGAAACGGGGUCUAAUACCGGAUACUGACCUGCCAAGGCAUCUUGGCGGGUCGAAAGCUCCGGCGGUGAAGGAUGAGCCCGCGGCCUAUCAGCUUGUUGGUGAGGUAAUGGCUCACCAAGGCGACGACGGGUAGCCGGCCUGAGAGGGCGACCGGCCACACUGGGACUGAGACACGGCCCAGACUCCUACGGGAGGCAGCAGUGGGGAAUAUUGCACAAUGGGCGAAAGCCUGAUGCAGCGACGCCGCGUGAGGGAUGACGGCCUUCGGGUUGUAAACCUCUUUCAGCAGGGAAGAAGCGAAAGUGACGGUACCUGCAGAAGAAGCGCCGGCUAACUACGUGCCAGCAGCCGCGGUAAUACGUAGGGCGCAAGCGUUGUCCGGAAUUAUUGGGCGUAAAGAGCUCGUAGGCGGCUUGUCACGUCGGUUGUGAAAGCCCGGGGCUUAACCCCGGGUCUGCAGUCGAUACGGGCA
Molecule: ribosomal RNA, 509 nt
Filed under: Streptomyces sp. SCAU5123
Lineage: Bacteria; Bacillati; Actinomycetota; Actinomycetes; Kitasatosporales; Streptomycetaceae
Description: bacterial SSU rRNA
Rfam family: Bacterial small subunit ribosomal RNA
Source: RNAcentral